RNAcentral lists this unclassified non-coding RNA (4700 nucleotides) under Polistes fuscatus (common paper wasp). RNAcentral's name for it is "uHRF1-binding protein 1-like, transcript variant X1". Lineage: Eukaryota; Metazoa; Arthropoda; Insecta; Hymenoptera; Vespidae. The record is from RNAcentral.
UGAUUAAAAAAGAAAAUAUUGUAAGGAGCUUAGCUACGUAUUAAUAUAUAUAUUUAAAAAUUAAUUUUUAUGGAAGAGGAUCUUUAUAUCUUCUAAGAGUCUAUGGUCAUGAUAGUCAUUGGCACGGAGUUCUUUAAUCUGUUCCUCCAUGUGUCAAACUAACCAUGUUUAGACGUAUUAAUCGUCAUAGAUGUUAAUUAAAAACCCGAAAAAUGGUGUCGAUUAUUAAAAAUCAGUUACUUAAACAUUUAUCAAGAUUUACUAAAAAUCUAUCAGCUGAUAAAAUAAAUUUGAGUACAUUUAAGGGAGAAGGAGAGUUAACUAAUUUAGAAUUAGAUGAAAUAGUUCUAACAGAUUUAUUAGAAUUACCAUCAUGGUUAAGGUUAACAAGUGCUUGGUGUAAUAAAGUUUCUUUUCGUAUACAAUGGACCAAGUUAAAGAGCGUUCCUAUUUUGUUGAAAUUGGAUGAAGUUCAUAUCGAAGUAGAAACAUGUGAAGACUUAAGGAAUAUGUCUUCCAAUCAAGGCCUGUCAUCUUACGCAGGCCCAACAAAAUAUUCUCUUAUUCAUAAAGUGAUCGAUGGCAUUACGGUUAAUGUUAAUACAGUGUCAGUUACUUUUAAAAGUCCUGCUUUUAUUGCAUCUGUACAGAUGAAUCGCAUUGUCGUUGAAUCUAAAUCAGCUACAUGGCAACGUUGUGACUUAAGAACUACAAGACUAAAAGAUCCAGAUCGUGGGCAGUUAUUGAUUUUUAAGGAAUUAGAAUGGCAGACUGUAAGAAUAGAAGCUCAAAGUACUAAAGAUACUAAUUUGACGCCUCUUCGUUUACUUACUAACCAAGCGAGAUGUUUAAUUACUAUAAAGAAAAGAAUAUCAGAUUGCUUCAUCAUGGGUUCAAGACUGAUACUCAUAUUAGAUGAUCUCUUAUGGGUUUUAACAGACUCUCAAUUAAAAGCAGCAUUACAUUUCAUAGAUUCUUUAGGAGGUCUUAUAGAAAAAGCAACUAUGUUGGAGCGAAAAACAAAAGCAGCUAGAAAGUUAGAGGUUUUACCAGAAUAUCAAGCACAAAUUUCUCAACAAAGUAGAACGAAAAAUCAGUUUAAUACGCCAAUAUCUAAAUUAUUUUCAAAAUAUGAUGUUGUGGAAACGUCUUAUCACUUUUGGCCUCAAAGAAUCGAUCUUCAUUUGUGCGAUGAUGUUGGUGGAGGUAGGUCAUUACAUCCUGAUUUGAGGGAUGGCGGUGCUCUUCAAAUAUCUUUAGUUAAAUUCUAUAUUGAUUAUUAUCCGUAUCAUCUGGCAAUGGCUGAUAGAAAAGACUGGGUUAAAUAUAGAGAAAAUGCUACACCUCAUAGUCAAUGGUUACAACAAUCAUUGAGUUCUUUUAGAAGUCAAUUUAUGGAUUUGAUUGAUUCUGGUAGGACACAACAUUCUCCAUUAACAAGAAGUCAAGGAAAUGUUACAGGCAGUGCUACAAAAGGUUCUGGAGAAAGUUUAGAAAAAAGUAGUCAAUCGCAGAGUGCAAAUGUGGGAUCUCAAGAACAGAAAAAGUUUCAAGGUUCUAGCGGAAAUCCAGUGAAAAAUUAUGUUCUCGAACAGCUUGCUAAAUUAAUGACAACUUGUAUUAUCAUUAGAAUUGAUGAUUUUACAUUGUUCAAAGUUACCACCGCAUCACGCAAGCCUGUACCAAAGGAAUUUAUUACAGCUCAAACGAGGAAAAAACGUCUAUCAGGUGAUCGAGAUAGAUUCUGUCUUCCCGAAGAUUUAACUAUUCUUCAUGCAGAAUUUACCUACUAUUAUUAUCCCGGAGAUAUAACUUUUCCAUUACCACCGCCAAAAUUUUAUGUGCAAGUAAAUCCAAUUCAAGUUAACUUCGAUGUAUGCUCCUGCCUUUGGUUUAAUUCUUUUCUAUUAAAUCUGCACCAUUCACUAAUGAAAAAGAAUGAGCCAUCAAAUUUAAAAAAUAUGAUGUAUUUUGAUGUUAAGAUAGAAGCUAUUCUUCCAAGGAUAGUUUUUGAAAAUCAGCAAGAUUAUCCUAAUCAAAAAGAUAGACCUAAAUCCCUGCAUAUUCAGACUUCUAGAGCAUCUAUUACAAAUGUUCGGUCAGUGGAAAGGUCUUCAAGAGCUGACUUAGCACAAUGUUUAAAUACGUUUCAAAUGGGUCAAAUGUUUUUUGGAGCUGAAUUCCCAAGCAAAGAGAAUGAUUUUCAUGUUGUGACUGAUAAAUUUUUAGCGCAUUGUGCAGGUACAGAUAAUAUUAGAUCUGCUCCAUCAAAUUUUACUAGUAAUUCAGUGAACGAAUUAAUUCGACAAUUACAUCGUGAAUUUUUAUGGACAGAAGCGAAAGAUGUAUGGUGUUGCAAUUUAGAGCCAGUUUGGGGUGACUUUUUUGGUGCAAGGGCAGUAGGACAGAAUCGUCCAGUUCCAUUUUUUGAUGCAUUUCCUUUAACAUUUUGGUGUCAUAUGAAUUUAGAACCAGUAACAGAAACAAAAAACACGUUUACUGCAGAUAUUCAUGGACUUGCAUAUAUAAGCAAUUUAGUUAGCGUACAGAUAAAUCAUUAUCAAUAUCUUUUUUUAUUAAGAUUGUCAGAAGUUUUAUCUGAAUUGACUACAUAUUUAGCUAUUGAUUCAAAUAAGAUAUUGAAUGUUGAAUCUGGUGGUUCAUUAAUAAUUGGUGCAUUAAUACCGCAAAUAGAGGUGACAUUUGUAAUGCCUUCACAUACACCUGGAAAAGAAAAUUCUGGUGGAGAUUUGGAAUCCGUUGUACCUGAUUCAUCUAGUAUAGCAGAUGAUUUUGCUGGAUCAUCUUCAGCUUGGCAUAAUUCUACGCAAGUCAGUGCAAAAGUUGAUUUUAGUAUUAAGAAAAUGAACACAAGCAAUGAUGUUGAAACACCACAAAGUGAAGUAUCAUCAAUGUCAAUGGAUUUUACACAUCCUGUUGUAAUAGAACAACCUAUUGUUACGUUUAAACAGAAUGGUAAUCCAGAUAAACGUGAACAUAUUCAUACGAAUAUUGCUCAUGAAAAACCUCAUACGAUUACGGAAGAGGAAGGUUUAUCGUUAAAACAAGGAGGUGAUGCUAUACAAAAACAUAACAAACCAGAUUUGAUACCAAAUACACCUUUCAUUCAAAAUAAUUUUAACGUUGGUUUAUCUUCCAUGAGAAAAGGAUUUAGUAAUUUAAUGACGUCCAUUGAUUCUGCUUUAAAAGCAUCACCUGAGGAUGGUAGUAGCGAUACUGUAUCCAUGAGGAGUGAUUUAAGCUCGGAUAGUGAAAAUUAUGCAUUAAUUACUCUUCAAGAUCAAGAGAAAUCUGAUGGAAUAUUUGCGGUUGAUAAUAGCAUUAGAAUAACUGCUGUGGAAGAGGCAAGCGAAGUUGUAGAAGAAACGCCAGACACGCAAAGUGAAAAAUCUGUUGACAGCGUUUGUAAAAGAAAAGAUAUAAUAUCUGUUACUACAUUUAAAUUAUCCAAAGUAGAAUUUAUUACACAAUCUUCCGGUUACUCUUCAACGAUAAAAGUUCAAGUAUCUAAUGUAAAAAAUGACGAAUGUCCAUCUAUACCAUGGGACGAAUUUCAGGUCAAGAGAAAGACUAAAUUCAGCUCUCGAUCAAGAGGUUGGACUGAACUACCAUCAGAUUCGGAUUGUAGAACGUGCAUCAAACUACGCUUAGACCACGACUUAAAAAAUAAAGAAGAUUCAUUGAAACUGUUCCAAGCUUCUCAGAGUAUUAAAAGUACUAAUAAUUCAUUGGAAGAUAAUAAAAUAAUCAAAGAACAGGCCAAUAAUAUUAAUCUAUUAGACAAGCAGAGCAUCAUGGAUUUAUUUGAAGAUAAAUUGGAAAUUAAUGUAACUGAUGUAACUAUGACACUGUCCAUGAGCUCUGUUACAGGUUUAGCGGAUUUAGCAGAGGAUGAAAUUAUACCUAAACCUAUUCCAAUGCAGGUAUAUCUAGAAAGAAUAUUUCUUCAUUUGAAUGAAGAUCGGCCUCCAAACAAUAUAACGUCACCAGGUCCAAUUCCCAUACAAUUAAAUAUAUCAAAACUUAGAAUAGGAAGGGAUUUAAGUGGUGCCUUUAAUAUUGAACCAAUUGUAACUAUAUUGGAUAAGAGUAAUUCCCAUAAAUUAAAUCCAAGUGGUAACAAUCAAAUUUCUAAAGACGAAGAGCGUGAAAUAGAAUUGAAUUCUUUAAGACAAACAAGUAAACAACUGAAAUCUGAUAACGAAGAGCUCAAACGACGUCUUGGAACUUUAGAAAGACUUUCGGAAGAAAAUGCAAAAUUAUUACGUAUAAAGGAAGAAUCAGAUAUGAUUAAAACUCAUUACAAUUCUGCGCAAGAGAAUAUCGCACUACUUAUUAAAGAAAAACAAGUAUUACGAGAAACAAUAACGGAGCUUCAAAAUCAAAUCAUGGGUAAUGGACCAGGAGGUAGUAAUAGAACAUCAUGGUCUAUUAAGAGAUAGCAUACUGGCUGUUUUAAUUGUUCUAAAUGUUGCAGUUCUGUUCCUCAAAAGGCUAUAAUCUCCUAUUGAUUGCAAUCAGAGCCAUAAACAGAUCUGUGUUUGUCCCAGGUUAUGAUGAUAGGAAUGUUUCUUCCAGAAUGUGGCUUUACUUAAUGACAAAAUGAGGCAGUAAGUAUAUAUAUAUAUAUCUAAUCAUAUAUGAAAUGUCAUAUUUGCUUUUAUACAAAACGGGAAAAA